GGCGCUGUGAGGGGCUGAGGGCGGUCGGCGCCGCGGCUCGCGCCGCUCCCUCAGCGGGGUGCGCUCGCGCCGCCAUCUCCACCGCCGGCAGGAGGGGGCGCUGCCGCCGCGCCGCCGCCUCCCAUUGGCUGGCGGGCGGCGCGCGCAUGCCCGAGCCCGGCGCGUGGCGGCGGCCGUCGGGCGCGGAGGGGAAGGGGCGGAGCCAGGGGUGCAAAUGGCAGCGGGGAGCCUGGCCCGGCCCGGUGGUGGCCAGGAGGAGAUCGCCGCCUAACUCACCCACCCUUGUCACGUGCUGUGGUGUAUUUACACAGAGGAAAAUGGCUCAAACUCUUGCACCAGCAACAUCCAUCCAUGAUGAGGAAUCCUUGGAAAGCAGAAUGGUGGUUACAUUCCUCAUGUCAGGACUUGAGUCAAUGUGUAAAGAACUUUCCAAAUCCAAGGCAGAAAUUGCCUGUAUUGGUGUAUAUGCAAGAAAUGUUUUUGUUAUUGGAACUGAGAGAGGAAAGGCCUUUGUCAACUCUAGGGAAGAUUUUAAGACGGAUUUUAUUGAAUACUGUGUUACAGAAGAGGACAGGCCUCCAGAACUGCAGAAAACAAAGACUACACCACCUGUAAACAGACAGACGGUGGAUGCUGAGGAGCUGGAGGCUCUCAGAAAGUCUGUGGAGGAGUUUUUCUGCUUUUCCUAUGGUAAAGCUUUAGGAAAGUCAACGGCAGUACCUGUGCCAUAUGAAGAGAUUCAGAGGAACCAGUCUGUUGUGAUAGUGCAGGGCCUGCCUGAAGGAGUCACAUUUAAACAUCCAUCAAAUUAUGAUGUUUCCACCCUGAAAUGGAUUUUGGAAAACAAAUCAGAGAUCUCAUUUAGUAUCAACAGGCCUUUCCUAGAACCAAAGAAACAGAUAGAAGCUGAUGUGACAGAUCCUUCACAUUCAGUUAUACCCCCAAGUGAAAGUUGUCCUCCUGUUAAUGUGAAAACGGAACCAAGCAAGGAUUCUGAGACCAACGAGGAUCAUGGAAUUUCUUCCAAAAUGUCAACAGUAACAUUGAAACAGGAAAGAGAUGAUCCUAACUACUAUCAAUUUAAUACUCCAGCAGGCCCUUCCAAAACAUCAGAGAUAGAGGAAAACAUUGCUCCUGGAAAAAUUUACACAGAGACCUCCCAGCCUGACUCAUCAGACACAAGUGAGGAUUCUGAGGCUGAGUUCUGUAACGAAGAUGAUGUUGAUGUUGGUGAUGAUAAUGAGGAUGAUGACGAGUACCUGCCCCCUGAAGGAAGCCUGAGGAGCUCCAGUUCGGCUACUGAAGCUACCAAUACUGGGAGAAGAAAUCCAGAAGAAUUUAAUUUUGAUUCCUCCCACCAUGCCUUGUCAGAAACAGGUGAGAAACCUGAGGUCGAGGUCACCAUUGAAGCAGAUGAUGAUGACUACCCACCACCUGACAAGAGACAGAAGAGCACCAAGUCAGCUAAUGAAGGGGCCAAUACUGGGAGAAGAAAUGCAGAAGAGUCCAAUUCUGAUUCCUCCCAGCAUGACUCGUCAGGAGCAAGUGAGGAUUCUGAGGCUGAAAUCACUAGUCAAGAUGAUGAUGAUGAUGAGUACCUGCCCCCUAGCAAGAGAAAAAGGAGGAGAAACACCAGGUCAGCUAAGGAAACUGGCAAUAGAAGGAGAAGAAAAGCAAAAUAUUUCAACUGCAAUACCUCCCAAAAUGACUUGUCUGAAAGAAGUGAGGAUCCUGAGGUUGAGGUCACUGUUGAAGAUGAUGAGGAUGACUACCUACCACCUGACAAGAGACCGAGGAGCACCAGUUCGCCUAAUGAGGAUGCCAAUGUUGAGAGAAGAAAAGCAGAAGAGUUCAAUUCUGAUACCUCACACCAUGACAUGUCAGAAACAAGUGAGAAUCCUGAGGUUGAGGUCACUGUUGAAGUUUCGAAAUUCAAGGCCGUUCCGGUUCUGCAUGCAAGUUCCGUGGACAAAAAAACAGGGGGUUUUUUAUUGUUUCUUAAAGAUGAUGAUGAAGACUACCUACCACCUGACAAGAGACAGAAGAGCAACAAUUUGGCAAAUGAAUCUGCCGAUGCUGAGAGAAGAAAAGCUGAAGAGUUGAAUUCUGAUACCUCCCUCCUUGACAUGUCAGAAACAAGUGAGAAAGCUGAGGUCGAGGUCACCAUUGAAGAUCGUGACCAUACCUACACAUACCAUGACAGGAGACGGAGGAGCACCAAGUCAGUUAAUGAUGAGUCCAAUCCUCAGAGAAGAAAAGCAGAAGAGUUAAAUUCUGAUUCCUCCCACCAUGACUCAUCAGAAGGAAGUGACGUUUCUGAGGCUGAUCUCACUAGUGAAGAUAAUGACGAUGACUAUGUGCCCCGUGAGAGGAGACAGAGGAGCCCCAAGUCAGCUAACGACGCGGCCAAUGGUGGGAGAAGCAGAGGAAUAAAUUUCAAUUUUGACAAGUGGAAUACGCGAAUUACAGACUUGAGAAGGGAAGUUGAGGUGCUGUUUGAGAAAAAAUAUGCUGAAGCUUUAAAAGUAGAGGGUCCCGUUUCUGUCCCAUACACAACCUUCCACUCCCAUCCAGAAGAUCUGUGUGUGGAAGGGCUGCCCGAUGGGAUUCCCUUCAGGCGUCCAGCCACGUACGGCAUUCCCCGGCUGGAGAGGAUCCUUCUGGCAAAGGAGCGGAUCCGCUUUGUCAUUAAAAAGCCUGAACUUCUGAAUUCAACAGAUGCUCCAGUGGUCAAUACAGUUUCAACAGUCUCAAAUACAGUGAAAGAGGACUGGCAUUCCAGAGUCACCAAACUGAGAAAGAUGGUAGAUCAACUUUUCUGUAAAAUGUAUGCCAAGGCUCUGGGGAGCAAUGACCCCAGAGCUGUUCCAUACAAGAAAUUUGAAGCUCAUCCGACUGACCUCUAUGUUGAAGGGCUGCCAGAGAACGUUCCCUUCAGGAGUCCCUCCUGGUAUGGAAUCCCUUGCCUUGAACAAAUAAUUCAAGUGGGCCACAGAAUAAAAUUUGUGAUCAAAAGGCCAGAGCUGCUAACUCACGCUUCAAAUGAAGGUACUCAGCACAGGUCAAACCCUCAAGCGAGAGAAGACUGGAAUUCCAAGAUCACAAAGCUAAGAAAGCAAGUAGAAGAUAUAUUUAGUGUGAAGUUUGCCGAAGCUCUGGGGCUUUCAGACGUUUCAGACUCAGUGAAAGUUCCCUACUCUGUGUUUGAAUCAAACCCUGACUCCCUGGUGGUGGAAGGUUUGCCAGAAGGAGUUCCCUUCCGGAGCCCCACGUGGUUUGGAAUUCCGCGCCUCGAAAGAAUCAUCCGUGGGAGUUCCAAAAUCAGAUUUGUUAUUAAGAAGCCUGAGCUUAUCAUUUCCCAUUUGCCUCUAAGACUGGCUAGUAGACUAAAGAAAAAAGGAAUUAAUCCAAGGAAUUCCAGAAGGUCACGAAGUUCUUCAGAAAAUUCAAGUGUCCCGGAGAUUGAAGUUACUAUUGAAGACAGUCCUAAAAAAGACCAAACUGCAAAUGCACAAACUAAUUCUCAUACCAAUGGCUCCAGUACAAAUUUGAAGCAACAAGGAAAAGGGUUUUGUUUUGAGCGGUGGAAUGCCAAAAUCUUGGACUUAAAGCAGCAAGUUGAAAAUCUUUUUAAUGAAAAAUGUGGGGAAGCACUGGGAUGCAGAGGGCCAGUGAAGGUGCCAUAUGCACUCUUUGAUUCCUACCCAGAGGAUUUCCACGUGGAAGGACUGCCUGAGGGGGUGCCCUUCCGCCAGCCUACAACUUUUGGGAUUCCCAGACUAGAGAAGAUCCUGAGAAAUAAACCCAAAAUAAAAUUUAUUAUUAAAAAGCCUGAGAUGCUUGAGGCAGCUAUCAAAGAAAGUUCUGAUAAGAGCCCCCAAGGAAAAAAUAAUUCCUCCAGUAAAGCCAAUACAGCAAGGACCACAAAAACCACAGUGAAAACAGCUGAAGGUGUUGAAGACCUAAACAUUGUUAAAGUAACCAUAAAAGAUGAUGAAAAUGAGCGACUGCCAAAAGCAGAAAAUGCCAGACAAUUGAGAGAGCAAGUAAAUGAUCUUUUUAGCCAGAAAUUUGGUGAAGCCACUGGUAUGAAUUUUCCUGUGAAAGUUCCAUACAGAAAAAUCACUAACAACCCUGGCUGUGUGUUGGUGGAUGGAAUGCCUCCAGGUGUGGCAUUUAAAGCACCCAGUUAUCUGGAACUCAGCUCAAUGAGGAAGAUUUUGGAUUCAGCAGAGUUUAUCAAGUUCACUGUCAUUAGACCGUUUCCAGGACUUGUGAUUAACAAUCAGCUGCUAGAAGAAGCUGAAGCAGAAGCACCAGCAGCAGCCACUACCACAGCAGUACUACCAGAUGAUGAGUGAGCUGGAAAGAAGGAUUAAUGGGGGCAAUGUGUAAAGGCAAUUCAGCAUCCAUUUAUUAAUGUCUGCUUAACUCAGUGUGCAUGUCUGCAUGUACAGCCAAGUGAAGUUUGCCUGCAUAGCUGGCAGUGGGGUCUGGGUGGAGUUUCUGCCUGCUGCCAAGCUCUGGAACCCCUGCUAGACUGCACCUGGGACUGCACACACAUCACCUGUCUUAGUCUGAACAGAGAACUUAGCUUUGGGCUGUGAAAUAACUAAAGGAAAUGUGGUUGGGCAACUUCACUUUGAUGCAAUACAGCUUUUACAUGUUCAUAUACCAUUGAAAAAUGUGUAUGCUAAGUUGGUGUAGUGUGGGGAAAACUUCUGCAAUUGAAUGAAUCGUUAGACAAAGAAGCUGGGAAACUAAGAGAAAACAUCUGAUAAAGAUUUUAAGAGCAAGGGACACUUGUAUGGUGAAAAUUAUUAAUAAAGGAAACUGCUGCUUCCUCUGUUUCCAUGUGGAGGUGUGGGAGGGAGGAGAUCAGCUGCUGGAGGUUUGUGAGCUUGCUGUAGUCUGUUGGUCCUUAACAUCUGCAGUGUUAAAAAGGUUAAAUGGUUUCCCCAGAACACGUUCAUCUACAAUCCCUGCAGAGACAGUAGCAAACUCAGCACGGAAUUGAAGCAUACUUCUUGUCCUCUUUAUGCCCCUUCCCACUCUGCCCCAAAGUACACAUACCUGCCAUCAAAGACAAUGCUUAGGAGAAGUGGGGAAGCUUUCUUUAAGCUGUUCCAAAUUUGGUGUGUUCUGUGCAAAUGCACAUUAUGUUGUUCUGGGUCUUGGUGAUAUGUCUGCCCCAGUGAACCAUUCUCAGAAGAGAAAGUGUUACAUAGUUGAAUGUAAUAAAUGUUUGGGGAUAUUUUAUAUUUUGUUGCAGACUAUAGAAAGCUACACAAAUUCAUCUCAGUCAAAGAGCUAUGAGUCUGAUUGUUUAAGAAAAAUGAAGUGCUUUUUUGAGGGAAAACUUGAUUUCCCUAAUCUGAUUCAUCUUGUUGAAACUAUAUUCAUAUUCAUUUGACUGUGUUUUUUGUUUCAUUUAAGAGCCAGCUGAACCAAGCCAAAUAGAAGUAUCUCUGGAAGAUAGCACAGAAACAGAAGAAAAGUUUCAGAUAAAGCAAGAUCCAGACCUGAUGUCAUAGACCUCAUCAAUACUGUCAGAAGCUGCCUGUUCUGAGAAGAGCCUGCUCGGCCUGUCUAGAGCUGUGUAAUAUAACUGUAUAAGAGAAGUAUCUUCUAUACAAACCCUUUUGUACUAUUAUAUAGAAAUGUCUACUUUUUCAGCAGUUCUGUGAAUUGACCUAAUAAUGACUGUAGAUUUGGAUUGUAUGAGUUUACUUUGGAAAAUAUUUUAAGGACUAAAUUUGAUGCAGCAAUGCUGGGGAGAUGGCAGGGAUUAAAAUCAACAGGGACAUAGCUCAGGCUGUCUACAUUUUCCAAUAAAGCUGAAUUUCACUGUACCUGAAUGCAUCCUAGCUUUUGUAAUGAAGAAUUCCUGUAAAGAGUUCAGUUUGUUUACUUUGGAGAAAAAAACCCUCUAUGUUAAUUUUCAGCUAUUACUUUAAUGUCUCAUUGGAAAACAGUAUCUGUAUAUUUGAGUUAAUUUUUCCUAUUAUAUCUAUCACAAUUCAUAUGUUUUUCCUAAAUAAAAGACGAAAUGAUCCACUUGA
This is an RNA transcript of Motacilla alba alba, 6062 nucleotides long. It is a transcript of the gene named general transcription factor IIi, with no coding region annotated. The record is from RefSeq and is a predicted model, not a curated record. NCBI's taxonomy places the organism in Eukaryota, Metazoa, Chordata, Aves, Passeriformes, Motacillidae. The transcript is spliced from 47 exons.